Molecule: long non-coding RNA, 1422 nt
Organism: Chelonus insularis
Lineage: Eukaryota; Metazoa; Arthropoda; Insecta; Hymenoptera; Braconidae
Exons: 6
Source: RefSeq, a predicted model, not a curated record
CGGUUGUCCGCGUUAUUCUGCUUUGAAGUUCCAAGCAGUUUAGAGAGUUUUGGUGAUGAUUCACCUGCCAAAAACUUGUUAAACACAAGCCAUAACAUGCUGCUACACUUUCUAGCUCAUAAUACUGAAUAUUUUUCAUCGAUUAAUUCAAUGCCUGUUGACGCAUCGAACAAUGGCGUCACAUUCCUGAAUUUUUUAUUAACAAUUUUGAAUCCAGCCCAAUUCACAGCCAUCCACUCCAAAAUUAUGUCACAAAUAAUGAAUUAUGUUACUUUGUAGUUAAUAGAGGUAAUAAUUAUGAAUAUUUUUUAUAUUAGUAGUAGAAUUUUGUUUUUUUAUUCAAUAAUAAUAACAAGCGUCAUUACGCUAAUGGACAUGUCUGAGCAAAUUAUCCAAAAAUAAUGGAAUUAUGAUGAAUUUAAUCAUGAAUCAUGUAUAAUAAUGUUCAAAUAUGAUUAGAAAAUAUUUAUUUCAUAAAAAGACAGUGGCUCAUAAUGAAAUAAUGGGUAAUUUGAUACAAGCAUCUUAUUGCGUAUUAGAAAAAACAAUGACGCCAUUUUUGCAACUUGGCGUCGGGUGAAUUUUUUAUGUAAAAAUACGUAAAUUUAUAGAUUGAAUAUGACUGAAAAUAAUCUUAAACGAUAGACAAUAAUUAUGUAAAUGUUAUUCAGUGAUAUUUAUGUGUGUUUUAUCGUGUUUUCAUAAAUUAGGUGUGAAUAAGUAGUUCAGUGUUUAGUUAAUUGUGUGUGUAUAUGUGUGUAGUGUUGUGAUGACGACAAGUGGAGUUUAGCUAGAACAAUAACCACCAUCAGGUGUUAUGAGAAAUGAUUUUAGCAACACAAGUUAGCACGAAAGGUGUUGGAGACUGUUGUUGACUUUUAUCUAUUAUUCUUUGGAUCAGAGUAGAUUAGAUAUUAUAACGUGUGAGAACCUAAAAUUUGUUGUCCAAAAGUCAAGAUUUGUUGAUAAACAUGAAGCUAAAUCAUCAAUGUUAUCAAGAAGCCUCAUUCAGAGUUAAUAUCACGAAGAAAUUUCUUCAUUUUUAUCCAAUCUGACCAUCAAUCUGACUGCAGGCAUUCUUAACUAAAAAAAAAAAACAGAUAGAGAUGACAAUCAUCAUCAUCAUCAUUGGCAAGGUGGUCAGAAGCGGCUGCAAAGAUGCAUGAAAAAUGGACGAGAGUGGCCGAUACUCUAGAAGGUUUGAGGAACGAAAGACUGAAAGGAAGAAAAAUGAGGGUGAUACGAGUAAAAGUGAGGACUUGGAGGAGGAUGGGAAGGUGGAAGAGGAUGAAGGAAAUAUCUGCUGCCUGUUGCUGGAGAAAAAUGUGUGUCGACGAGUAUUAAAUGGAAUGAAGGAAGGAUAAGAAAACAUCGUGAAAGGUAAGAACAAUGUAAAUACUAAGAUUUGCAUGAAAUCAUUUU